CCUAGUCCAACACCGCAUCACUCACACUCUCUCAAACACUCUUCUUAUUCUUCAACUGCAUCUCAAACCUCUCUCUCUGUUCGAUUCCUUCAAAAAUGGCCAAAGAUCAAAGUAGCAUCAUGUGUGGCUCACGUUUAAGGUUCCUACUUCCUACUUGCAUUGAUUUCAAACGCUAAGUUACUGUGUUGAGAAUGUGAAUUGAAUUUGGUGUUUUUUUUUUUUUUUUGAGAUGGAAUUUGGUGUGUUGAUAUGUUCGUUGAUUUAACAAGGAAUGAUUUGUAAAUAAUCUAAUAACUUCUUCCCACGCUGUCAUAACCUCCCAUGGUCUAAUUUAAUUAAUGUCCAAAAUAAGCCAGCUUCUUUGUGUCAUGCCUUUAUAUAUAAAGGUACGUUCCUUUGUGAUUCAUUCGUAGAACAUUGUAUUCAUCCAUUGCAUGUCCCUAAUGCUAAUGAAGUUUCUAAGUAGUCAGAUCUCUCUUUUUGUGCUUUUUUUACAAUACUUCUGAAUCCUGCUCUAGUUUGAAGAUCAAUUCAAUGGUGACUAUGAAAUUAAGGUUGUUACUACUUACCUAUCAUUCGAGUAGCUGCUGCCAUGUCUGAUUCACUCAAACACCAAGAUAUGUUGCUCCUUGGUUUCGACAAACACUCAUGUUUUCUUUCUUGGCAGAGACUAUUUGGACCAUCCCUCUUUACUAUCCACACCAUCCCUUUUUUAUAAUAGCAUUGAUUUCAAUUUGGAAAAUAGUAGAUUUCUAAAAACAAAUUUGGCAAAUAGUAGCUUGGCCAAAUGCUACCUCUGCUCAUAUCACUAUUAUUAUUUAAUUUAGAAUAUUAGGAAAUCACAUAAAGGACACUUUAUUUUCAUUACUACUAGAAUGACAAGCACCAAAAUCUUAUAUGUAAUUUCUGCUACAUGACAUAUUCAAGGGAGUGGGUGGGUCUGAGAAAGUUCCGGUAGAUAUCAGAUCAAAGACGACCUUAUUGGCAGCCUCUGUACAAUGUGUCCCAUCCCAUAUCACUCUAGUAGAUGGUCUUUCACAUGAGCCCACAUAAAUUUCUUCACCAUCUAUGUUUAU
Molecule: long non-coding RNA, 1076 nt
Filed under: Lotus japonicus
Lineage: Eukaryota; Viridiplantae; Streptophyta; Magnoliopsida; Fabales; Fabaceae
Description: long non-coding RNA (LJAP_LNC001269)
Source: RNAcentral